Non-coding RNA from Macaca mulatta (Rhesus monkey), 1365 nucleotides. The record is from RefSeq and is a predicted model, not a curated record. Lineage: Eukaryota; Metazoa; Chordata; Mammalia; Primates; Cercopithecidae.
UCCUGAGUAGCUGGGACUACAGGCAUCCGCCACCACGCCCGGUUUGGUCAUCUGCCUCUGACAGCACAAAAGCCCUAAAUUUAAUACCCUGAAGAGCUAACGUUGAAGUGCAAAAACGAAGGUUGAAACAGCCCGACUCCGAUACACUGAGAAGAACCAGGAUGCACCUGCACUUCUAAUUUUUUUCAAUUUCAGCCCAGAGCCGGGUUCAAGCAUUUCUCAGAAAUUUCCAGCGCACGUUCCCCAUCUGAAGGCUCACACCUGCGGGAGCAGAACACACUCCACACGGGUGCCUCCAGCACACGGAACUUGCGCUCCCGGAAGCUUACGACAUGGUCAUUGUUGAAGUGUUCCCCUCGAAGUAGCUGGGCGUGGUGGCGCGCUCGUGGAGUCCCAGCUACUCGAGAGGCUGAGGUAGGAGCAUCGCUUGAACCCAGGAGGAGGGAGUUGCAGUGAGACGAGAUCGCGCCACUGCACUCCAGCCUGGAUAACAAAGCGAGACUCCGUCUCAAAAAAAAAAAAAAAAAAAAAAAUCCUUAAGGACAGCCCAGAGGCUGGCGACACCUUCACGGGCCCCUCCAUGGAUGCGCCUCUGAGGUCACCGCUCCGGAAGGUCCCAGACUGGCGUGGAAACCUAUUACUAAGUGGGGCGCGUGGACACCGGCAGGUCCCGCUCUAAAGGAGUCCCGCGGAUGCUUGGGCCUCAGUUCCUCUUUCCUGCCCAAGUAUUCCCCCCGCUCUGACGAAACAGGCAACUUCCAGACUGUGGCGUUAGCUCAGCGACUGCGCUGAGCCCCGGGAAAGAACCUGGUCCCGACGGCCAGCUGACCCAGGUUAGUUGCGGAGAUGCUGACUACCCCGCUUCGCUGGCUGCUGCGAGGUCACAUGAGGCCCUCGGUGUGACGUGAGGUCCUCGGGCGCAGCAGGGAGCGUGGCAGCCAACUCUUUCUGCGCGUGCGCGAGCGCGAGCAUCUGCUGUCGUUUAGGCAGAACGGUCGCAAAUCGCACCCUCAGUACUGGCCCGCUUUGCUCUUCUACCUUGCCCUCCUAGUCCGGAUCCAAGAUCCCAAGUAAUCGUCCUACCCCUGCACCGGGGCCGGGACCAGGCAGCCAAGAGCGGCGGAGACAGACUGCUGGGACCGCGACAUCUCCUCUCCUGUUCGCUGCCAUAUGCCCGCGUCGUGUUGAGCGGCCUGCGGACACUGACAGCCUGCCCGGUCCGCUGAGUGUUUGAUCCCCAUCCUCUCAACGCUCUGGAGUGGGCGGUGCAGCCAGUCUUCUUUCAUUCUUAUGAGGCAAGAGAGAGACCCUCUCAUAUUGUUUUAUACUCAGUACCUGUUUAAAAAACAAAACAAAACAAAACAA